This 72-nucleotide transfer RNA is filed under the name Camelus bactrianus (Bactrian camel). It matches the Rfam family "tRNA". From Rfam's summary of the family: Transfer RNA (tRNA) molecules are approximately 80 nucleotides in length. Their secondary structure includes four short double-helical elements and three loops (D, anti-codon, and T loops). The record is from Rfam by way of RNAcentral. RNAcentral also lists the same sequence under 1 other name. Lineage: Eukaryota; Metazoa; Chordata; Mammalia; Artiodactyla; Camelidae.
GAGGGUGUAGCUCAGUGGUAGAGUGUGUGCUUAGCAUGCAUGAGGUCCUGGGUUCAAUCCCCAGUACCACCG